RNAcentral lists this signal recognition particle RNA (298 nucleotides) under Aotus nancymaae (Ma's night monkey). Its description in RNAcentral is "Metazoan signal recognition particle RNA (ENSANAG00000009831.1)". It matches the Rfam family "Metazoan signal recognition particle RNA". Rfam says of the family: The signal recognition particle (SRP) is a universally conserved ribonucleoprotein. It is involved in the co-translational targeting of proteins to membranes. Lineage: Eukaryota; Metazoa; Chordata; Mammalia; Primates; Aotidae. The record is from RNAcentral.
GCCAGGCGUGGUGGCGUGUACCUGUAUUCCUGGCUAUUUGGGAGGCUGAGGCUGGAGGAUCUCUUGAGUCCAGGAGUUCUGGGCUGUAGUGCGCUAUGCCGAUCGGGUGUCCGCACUAAGUUUGGCAUCAAUAUGGUGACCUCCCGGAGCGGAGGACCACCAGGUUGCCUAAGGAGGGGUGAACCGGCCCAGGUCGGAAAUGGAGCAGAUCAAAACUCCCGUGGUGAUCAGUAGUGGGAUCGCGCCUGUGAAUAGCCACUGCUCUCCAGCCUGGGCAACAUAGCAAGACUUCGUCUCU